This 1268-nucleotide unclassified non-coding RNA is filed under the name Melitaea cinxia (Glanville fritillary). RNAcentral describes it as "misc RNA ENSMCXG00005014297.1". The record is from RNAcentral. Lineage: Eukaryota; Metazoa; Arthropoda; Insecta; Lepidoptera; Nymphalidae.
UUACAGAUGAAUCCUAGAUAUUUCGCUUGUAGCACCGACACUGUGCUGUCAUGUACACAACAACAGAGAUAUUUGAACGAGUGCCAAAUAUUAUUUUAAUAUUUUGAUAUUUAGUCUUGUUGUUGGCUAUUUCGAAAAACGUAACUAAACCAUGACGCUGUGUAAAAGUCAAAGAGCCGGUGUUGUCAAGAAGCUUCCUUCAUUUAUAAGCAAAGUACUAAAAUCAAAAAAUGAAUAACGAAUAUAUAAACCAAGUGAUGGAUGCACCGACGAAGUUUACGAUAAGUGAUGGAGGAUCACAGUCCUCUACACUUUCACCGCAAGAAUUUCGUAUAAAUGGAAAUUUGGAGACUCAUUUAUUCGAAGAAAAUAAGAUGAAUGAGUCAAUAAACGUUUCGGAUAACAUAAUAAAAUAAAGUAUUUGGAUGUCCGAAAUCUCUUCUGAAGAUUAUUUGGAUGUGACAAACAACACUACCUACUAAUAAAUUAAAAUUUGUCAUAUUAUGUUGAUGCUGCAGGAAUGUUAGAUUUUAAUCCUUAAAGUUAAAUAGACAGCACAGAAAAAAAAUAUUUAUUUAGCAAAAAAUACAAAAGGAGUAGUUUUUUCCUGUCAAUAGUUUAUUAUUAAUUUAAAAAUAGAAGUUCCACCUGAAGUACAAGUUGAAUUCAAAUCACUUAUCCUAGGCUAUCCCAGAGUCAUCUAUGGAUACGUUUCCAAGGACAUUAACAUACAAAGAAACGGUCCUCCUUACCUUUACUCAUCAUAUACAGUACCCGGCUAUAAAUUAUACACAUCGACCUUUGGACCGUCAGCUAGUUUUAACUUUGUAGUGUCGAUUGAUAGAUUGAUUUAAUGGAUAAGGAAGGUCUGGAAUGCUAGACUAUAAUGCGCUACAAAUUUAAAAUUAGCCGAUUGUCUCGUUCAAAAGUCGAUGUGCACUAUUAAUUUCUGGGUACCGUAUAUCGUUUUAGCUUCAUUGUCUAGCUUCACAGUCGACUGCUGGACAUAGGCCUCCACAAGUUCGAGCCGAAAAUGGCGUGAACUCAUGUGUGUUGCCCAUAGUCACCACGCUGGGCAGGCGGGUUGGUGACCGCAGGGCUGGCUUUGUCGCACCUAAGACGCUGCUGCCCGUCUUCGGCCUGUGUAUUUCAAAGCCAGCAGUAAGAUGGUUAUUCCGCCAUCGGUCGGCUUUUUAAGUUCCAAGGUGGUAGUAGAACUGUGUUAUCCCUUAGUCGCCUCUUACGACAACCCACCGGAAGGGAGGGGG